CGUCUCCAAACUCUCGCGCAUGGGAGACAUUACUUCCGGGCAAAGCACAGGCAGCUGGCGUGACUGGACCAACAUGUAAAGUAGGUUUAGUUCUGUAGUGCUACACAUUCACCAACUCUGUUUGAAAAAAAUCCCAUGUUGGUAUAUUAUGGAAAUUUUAAACAAAGUAGAAUAGGCGUGACAUGCAGCAUUUUUUUUCCUUCUCACCUAACGAUAAACAUUUGCGUUUUGAUCCAGAAAUGUCUAUAGCCCAGUCAGCUGCCCGUGAUUUGCAUCACGUUCAUGCGCUCGAGUUUGGAGACGACCAGAAGGCGCCAAAACGUAUCUUUAGUUUGCAGGUGGACAAUGAAAUUAAACUGGACGUGGAUGCAGGUCAUGAAUUCAUAUCAGGAAGAUAUUGGGUAAGCUCAGGGGUGAAAGUAAGGCGUUACGGUUCGGUACGGCGUCUCUGCAAAAUAAAUAGUGGGGGUACGCUAUACCGUGUCAAGAAUGGUCCACCAUCCAAAGGACAUCGAGCCAACUUAACAACUGUGGGAAGCAUUGGAGUCAACAUGGGCCAGCAUCCCUGUGGAACGCUUUCAACACCUUGUAGAGUCCAUGUCCCGACGAAUUGAGGCUGUUCUGAGGGCAAAUGGGGUGCAACUGGGGAUCUGCAGCUCAGUGAUCCAUCACCCUCUCUAGCAUCUCACCCACCCUUUGCUGUCAAGCUGUAUUUGUGUGUUAGAACAGUACAGCGAGCGGACCAGUGUCGCUGGUUUAAAUCCCAAGUCUGAUGGGAAACUAAUCGAGUGGGAAUCUAGACUGACAAGAUACUGAGAUGUUGAAAGAGGACGUGGGUCCAUGCAUCCCAACUGUACAGUGUGCUCGUGAGUAAAGAGCUCUCAUGCGUAUAAUUCGAAGACGCACUGGAAGUGAGAGCACACGGAUGGCUGGAGAUGCGACAGGUGAGAGACGACUUGCAACGGAUCGACAUGAAAGAGGCAGACUGUGGCGGCCCCCCUGCUCUGUUUGGACAAGUUUGCAGAGCCCAGGGCCCUUUCCGGGGAACACGUCUCAGCCAAAGAGACAAAUUGUCACAACAGCUGGACAUAGAUUAUCUCGUAUGUCCAGCUGGAGGUCGGCUCCAUCCUCAAAGCCACUCUAACCCCGCCCUACUCUGUACUCUACUGCAUCUCCUGACACACCUGCUAGUGCCCCUGGCCUGACCCAUCCAUUAACCGUUUCAAAGGCCUGACUGAUGGCUGCCCUGACCACUGGCCUGCAGGGCUCUGAGGAGCCACCGUGCGUGAGUGUGUGUGUCUGUGUGUGCGCGUGCGGCUGCAGAAGAGACGUUUGGGGAAAGUUCAGGUGAGAUGAUGAUGAUAUGAAAAUAAACUUGAUUUGAAUACUCAGUCAAAUGUGCUGCAGAGCCCUCUCUCUCUAGCGGUAUGAGAGAGGGAGAUGGAGAAGGUGACCUGUUAAUUAAGUCAACCUUAGUCUCAACGCAAUGUUCUGCAUUUGUUAACAGCUGAUUCUGUGUAGUGUAAUAAAGUUCUCUACACCACUAUCUAUUUUGAAUGAUAGUGAGUUCCAUAGAAUUUCGUUGUGUUUUAGUUUCUGUGAAAAUUGAAUUAGAUUGGAAUUCUAUGAUGUAUUUUACUGGGA
This 1644-nucleotide long non-coding RNA is filed under the name Salmo salar (Atlantic salmon). RNAcentral's name for it is "lncRNA (ENSSSAG00000114967.1)". Lineage: Eukaryota; Metazoa; Chordata; Actinopteri; Salmoniformes; Salmonidae. The record is from RNAcentral.